Camelus dromedarius (Arabian camel) is the source of this 2837-nucleotide long non-coding RNA. RefSeq lists it as uncharacterized. NCBI's taxonomy places the organism in Eukaryota, Metazoa, Chordata, Mammalia, Artiodactyla, Camelidae. The record is from RefSeq and is a predicted model, not a curated record. The transcript has 2 exons.
UGUUCUUCACUUACGUUCUCUCUCUUGAUUCUCCCAAAACCCCUGUGAGGCAGGUGAUGGGUCCACAGUCCUGUGUCUAACACCAGCUAAGUGCCAGGCAUGGUCCUGUGCUGUGAGGACUCAGCCAUGAGCAUAGAAGACAAGAUCCUGGCCCUGGAGCAGCCCCCUUUACAGCAGAGAGACGGACAGGAAACAAGAAAAGGGACCAAAGGAGAAGCUCAGAGACCAGGAAAGGACAGCGAGUGCACGAUGGCAGCCCGAACCAGGGUGGAGGGUAAGUGUGAAGGCUGCUGGAGGCAGAAGCAGUGCAUGUGCGGGAUCAGGAAAGGGAGGGUUGGGGGUGAGCACAGCUGGGUGGAUGGUGGAGCCGUACUUACUGAGACGGAAGACCCUGGAGCAUUGGUUUUGGGGGAGGGAAUCGAGGUUGGAUCUGGACAGUUUCCAUUUGAAGUUCCUGCUGGACAAGCACCUAAGGAUGGAUGUGAGCCCAGAGCACAGAGACCGGUCAGGAGACACCAGGUUGGAAGUCAGCAGCACAGAAGAGGUAUUUAAAGCUGAGGGACUUUAUCAGUAACCCGGGGGAGUAGGAAACAGCAAUGGGGAUGGAGGGGUACCUGCCAUCGUCUGUCAGAUGUCUGUCUGGCCCAGAGCAUCCUUCCCACUUAUCCUCCAACCUUCUGAAGUUUUCAUGGACGGUGGCCACGGUCGUGAGUGUGACUGAAGGGGACUCUCCUGAGGUUCAGGGCACAGAGGUAGUUCCCCCGGGUCUUUUGUUAGCGCAGCACCCCCACUCCCACCAAACCCAGCUGCCCUUUCACGCCUGUAUUCUAGAGCAAGUGCCCAAAUCUGUGUCCAUCUUGAUCUCACCCCUUCACCCAGAGAGAGUAAUUGGGAAAUUGACCCUCCGCCUUACUUACUGUCCACACAUGUGGCAUAGAAAGAAAUCUAGAAUUUUCCUUUUGACUUUUUCCUUCGCUGUUGAUUUGUGCCAAUGGUCAAAGUCUUGCUGGGUGAAUUCUGCUUCUCGGCCCUGUUCUUCAGGUACAGAGGGAUUCUGUUCUUGCCCAGGAGCGGGUUUCCCCCCUACCCCGCCCGCCCACAAGUAUAUUUUGCACAUAAGUUCUUAGCCACUCUCUUUCGUUGAGAUUUUUAAAGAGGGGAUGGUUUUGGCUGUCAAGUUCCUCUAACAGAAUCGUCCUUGCUACACACGAAGGCUGCUGGUUUUCCCUCUAGGAACCCCAGGCAGGCUCCCUGCUUUGCAUGUGGCUGGGUAAACUGGAGGGUGAGUCACUGGAGUGACAGCGGCAUCCGCUGCAGGGGAGCUCACGCGGGUGCUCGGCUGGGACACACGGAGCAUGUGUAGAACCAGUUGGCUCACAUUCUGCGUUGGGCAACGUGUGCAGACACAGAGGGACUCUUGUUUUUGAGUCUCUUGCUUUCCCACACCCUCUGAUACUGCCGCCCCCACCCCGCUGGCUCCUGCCAGCUCCUCGGCCCCGCCCAGGCUGAGCUGUCACCCAGCCCUGCGUUUGGGAACAAUUCCACGGCUGCCCCAGGCAGCCUCAGCUCCCCUGACUUGCUGAGGCUUUCUCCUGCUGUCUCUCAAGCCCAUCCACUUCCCUCCAUCCCUCAGUCCACCUGGCCAAGCAGGGCGGCAGCCAGCCCUUGCUGGGACGACCGCACCGGCCCCUUACUUGACCUCCUCGUCUCCUGGAGCGGUCUCUACUCACUCACUUCUCCCCCACUUGGCAGCGAGGAUGAUUUCUCUAAAUCACAAGUCUUCAUUGCAUGACUUCCCUGCUUAAUCAUUCCAGGGUUUCCUAUCGCUCUUAAGUCUGAACCGCUGAUGCACUUAGAGGAAGGCUUCUCCACUGUGACUGUGCACCAGGUCCCCUGGGGAUCUGAAAGCACGGAUUCUGAGUCAGUAAAUCUGCAAUCAGGGCUGAUAUUCUGCAUUUCUCAUAAGCUCCCGGGUGGGGCCUGUCCUGCUGGUCUGUGCAGGCCACUCUGAGGAGCAAGGACCAGGAGGUCCCCUGCCUGUCUCCCUAAUCUCAUCUCUUGCCACCUCCCCAACUCUGUUCCAGCCACACUGAACUUAUUCUAGCUCCCAGAAUGCAUCACACUUUCGCUCAUCCCUGGGCCUUUGCACGUGCACCCUCACUAGUGCACUCUUGUACCCCAGCCUGGCUGGCUUCUGCCCUUUAUUUCAGUUAGAGGGUAGAUAUCAUUUCCUCUAGGAAGUCUUCUCUGAUUCUCCAACCCCAGGGAACAAAUUGGGGAGUGUGUUUGUGGCCCAGCAGUGGUGUGAGGUGGAGGGGUAGGGUGGUAAUGAUGUUAUGCUCAGGGACAAGGUCAAAGGGGUGAGUGAGCUGAACCGUGAGGUACAAGGUGGCAGCCAGAGAGGUGGGGAGCUGUUUCCUUCUACAGAAUGUUCUAGGAGGAAGAUUCUCGUGUCCCCUGUGGUGGACAGAAGACUGUCUGACCUGAGCUUGUGCAAAGGGUCCCAGGUCUCCUGCUGAGCAGAGAGGAUCCCCGAGGAAAGGCCACUGCUUCCGCCGCACGAGGUCAGCCUCACAACUGUGUGUGUGUCCUCAGGCCACCCGAAAGUCAUGUCUGCAUGACCAAGGCCGCUACAAGGAUGAAAACUUUUUCCAGAAAGUUCUUUUUUGACACAGCCUGAGAGAGAAUCAUGGAGACAAGUUUCUACAGUAGAAAUCUUCUUUCCUUAAGAAAAUCUUUUUCUUUAAAAGUAUCCUUUAAUUUUUUUUCUCUUUCUUAGUUUAUGUGCUCCUUUGGUCCUUGUUUGAUUUUUGACUUAUAAAGUUAUUUCCUGUGCA